RNAcentral lists this unclassified non-coding RNA (426 nucleotides) under fungal sp. RNAcentral describes it as "partial internal transcribed spacer region". The stretch from base 1 to 46 matches the Rfam family "Eukaryotic small subunit ribosomal RNA", at positions 1786 to 1831 of the family's 1831-position model. The record is from RNAcentral. Lineage: Eukaryota; Fungi.
AAGUCGUAACAAGGUUUCCGUAGGUGAACCUGCGGAAGGAUCAUUAACACGUAUCCAAACGGAAAAACCCCCCCAACGUGAACAUUCAAUCCUGCUCUUGUAACCCGCGUAGUUCGCAAUCUCUGGUAAAUCAUAGCCCGGAAAGUAGUUUUGAUUCAGAGACCUCUGGCUACGUGAGAACAUUGGAACAGUUACAAUCGAGCGGUAGUUUCAUAGGCAUUGUUUCCCCAAGCAGUCAGUGUCUGAAAGUGUCACUGAUUGUGCAAGGAUAGCGCUUCAACGAUUCCUGUAGACCGUACACUCGGGCAGGAGCUAUGCCAAAGGGUCCCCAUGCCCCCUUAUAACCCCACAGUUUAAUGUGAAGCUCAAUGUAAUACAUUGGGUAAAAAAACCGAACAACUGUUAACAAUGGAUAUCUUGGUUCUC